AACUUUUGGCAACGGAUCACUUGGCUCUCGCAUCGAUGAAGAACGCAGCGAAAUGCGAUACGUAAUGUGAGUUGCAGAAUUCAGUGAAUCAUCGAAUCUUUGAACGCACCUUGCGCCCCUUGGAAUUCCGAGGGGCACACCCGUUUGAGUGUCGUGAACAUCCUUCAACCUUUCUUGGUUUCUUAACCGGGGAAGGCUUGGACUUUGGGGGUCUUUCAUUGCUGGCCUCUUUGAAGCCAGCUCCUCCUAAAUGGAUUAGUGUGGUCUGCUUUGCCGAUCCUUGACGUGAUAAGAUGUUUCUACGUCUUGGGUUUCGCACUGUCGCUUUAGACCCCGCUUCUAACCGUCUUGCAUUCAAGACAGAGUUUUAAACCUUGACCUCAAAUCGGGUGAGACUACCCGCUGAACUUAAGCAUAUCAAUAAGCGGAGGCU
This 433-nucleotide unclassified non-coding RNA is filed under the name uncultured Russula. RNAcentral describes it as "sequence contains ITS2". The stretch from base 1 to 154 matches the Rfam family "5.8S ribosomal RNA". The record is from RNAcentral. Lineage: Eukaryota; Fungi; Basidiomycota; Agaricomycetes; Russulales; Russulaceae.